GAUGAACGCUGGCGGCGUGCCUAAUACAUGCAAGUCGAGCGAACAGAUGAGGAGCUUGCUCCUCUGACGUUAGCGGCGGACGGGUGAGUAACACGUGGAUAACCUACCUAUAAGACUGGGAUAACUUCGGGAAACCGGAGCUAAUACCGGAUAAUAUAUUUAACCGCAUGGUUCAAUAUUGAAAGACGGUUUUGCUGUCACUUAUAGAUGGAUCCGCGCCGCAUUAGCUAGUUGGUAAGGUAACGGCUUACCAAGGCAACGAUGAGUAGCCGACCUGAGAGGGUGAUCGGCCACACUGGAACUGAGACAGGGUCCAGACUCCUACGGGAGGCAGCAGUAGGGAAUCUUCCGCAAUGGGCGAAAGCCUGACGGAGCAACGCCGCGGGAGUGAUGAAGGUCUUCGGAUCGAAAAACUCUGUUAUUAGGGAAGAACAAAUGUGUAAGUAACUAUGCACGUCUUGACGGUACCUAAUCAGAAAGCCACGGCUAACUACGUG
This 497-nucleotide ribosomal RNA is filed under the name uncultured bacterium. RNAcentral's name for it is "partial 16S ribosomal RNA". It matches the Rfam family "Bacterial small subunit ribosomal RNA", at positions 28 to 507 of the family's 1533-position model. The record is from RNAcentral.